This 295-nucleotide long non-coding RNA is filed under the name Brassica napus (rape). Its description in RNAcentral is "long non-coding RNA (BNAP_LNC009956)". Lineage: Eukaryota; Viridiplantae; Streptophyta; Magnoliopsida; Brassicales; Brassicaceae. The record is from RNAcentral.
AGAGAGAGAGAGAGAGUCGACCGUGAGGAGAGAGAGAGAGAGAGAGAGAGAGAGAAUCGGCAUCUUGCAUUUUCCUUAUUAGAUUAUGAUUUGUACUAUUUCCAUAUUUGUAUUUCCUUUCUUUAGUCUUUCCAUUAUUCUAUGACGGUGUAAUUCCUUAUAUAUAAAUGGCUCCUUAUGUUUAUGAAUAAUACAGAAACAUAGAUUAUAUUCUCUAGUUUCACAACACGUUAUCAGCACGAUAGAAUAUAAAUCCCUAAGCUAAAACAAACCGCCUAAAACCGUAACCCUAAUC